GCCAACGACCAUACUACGCUGAAUACAUCGGUUCUCGUCCGAUCACCGAAAUUAAGCAGCGUCGGGCGCGGUUAGUACUUAGAUGGGGGA
This 90-nucleotide ribosomal RNA is filed under the name Drosophila ananassae. Lineage: Eukaryota; Metazoa; Arthropoda; Insecta; Diptera; Drosophilidae. The record is from RNAcentral.